AAUGAAUGUGCAUUAAAUUUAACAACAAUAACAAUUCAGUUAAAAAGAAGUAGUGUUUUGUGUUUGUUUGUUUUUGUUGUUGUGUUUUUACUGAAGCUGUGGAACUCACUGCGAGAGGAUGCUGUGCAUCCAUGCCAGAAGAUCAGUCAAAAAACUCUGCAGUGUGGCAGACCACAGGUGUCCAAGCUCGGUGACAUAUCAGCUGAAAUAAUACAGCAGUGAAGACAUAGCCCCUGAGAAUGUGGUGAAAGCUUCAACUGAGAGCUCUCUCUAUACCUGCUGAAAGGUCUGUGGGAAGAUCUGAAUUGCACUGGCAUAAGUGCUUGAACAUUUGUUUUCCCAUUGUCUUCUGGUUGCACAAGGAACAUGUGGCUUCAGUCGAAUACUCUUGGCAGAAAAUUAAAUGCAGCAUCAGAUCAGAAGAAAAAAAGAGAAAACACUGCACUGCUCACAGGGGGUCAGCAGGGUCCAAGGAUGCUGCCUUUUUUUUUUUUAAUGACUCUACAUUGUUGCUAAUUUAAACAAGACAUUGCCAAAUUUGUUGAAAACUUCUCAAUCCUAGGACUAUUCAGAACUCUUCCUCCAGUAUGUUCCUUCAUCUCAUUUUCUCCCAUAGAGUUAGCUCAAGAAUUAUGCUUUCCCUGGAAACACAUCUUUUUUGAAUAUUUUUUAUGCUCCAGCAGGAAAGCCAAAACAUGUUUUCUUUCUGAUUUUGGUAAAAUAAAUCAAUGUAUUCC
RNAcentral lists this long non-coding RNA (737 nucleotides) under Numida meleagris (helmeted guineafowl). Its description in RNAcentral is "lncRNA (ENSNMEG00000004645.1)". Lineage: Eukaryota; Metazoa; Chordata; Aves; Galliformes; Numididae. The record is from RNAcentral.